RNAcentral lists this long non-coding RNA (741 nucleotides) under Elaeis guineensis (African oil palm). RNAcentral describes it as "long non-coding RNA (EGUI_LNC047929)". The record is from RNAcentral. Lineage: Eukaryota; Viridiplantae; Streptophyta; Magnoliopsida; Arecales; Arecaceae.
CUGGCCAAGGUUUUGCUAAAUUGAAAUAUGACUGUACACAGCUCCUAAACUGGAGUGGUCAAUCCCAUCUUAACACACGCACCGACAAGUCAAGUACUUGACUACACCCAGCAGCCUUCCGUCACUGAAUUAGAAAUUCAGGUAGUCCAGUGCCUAAGUGCAGUGAGUUGCUUGCAAGUCACCAUGGCGGUCUCAGGUCGGAGGGACAUUUAUACCCAUAUUUCAUCGAAGCAAAUCUUGACAGUAGAAAUAGCUCCGAAGUCGGUCACGUUCAGUGCAGAUGUACCCUUACAUCUCACCUGUAUGCCAUACCAGUGUCUCCACACUCAUUGGUUAAGAGGACAACCAACCUAUAUGGCACACAACGAUUUAUGCUUGAUAAACAUUGUCGUCCUUGGUAACAACGUAUCAUUUGGUCGCGAACAGAUUUAAGGACUAAACGAUAAAUCCUCCUUUGUUGAGUCUAAAUAGUCUUAAGGACUUCACUACAAUAUAGGAGUUCAUUAGAAGAUGAAAUAUUUUAUGAUGAAAAAAUAUCAAAAUAAUUUUUAUUAAUUCAUAAUUCAUGUACAUAUACAAAAAUGAGCACAACCAUUAACAGGCUGACGAUUGGCUUUGGGACACUAUUUCCACCAAUCUCCCACUUGGCCUAAAGCCAAUUGGUGCAGUAUCUAAUAUCCAUCUUCGACUUGUAGUUGUCGAACUCCUUCACCGUAAUGACUUUAGUGAAUGGGUCAGCCA